Molecule: unclassified non-coding RNA, 185 nt
Filed under: rhizosphere metagenome
Description: partial ribosomal RNA internal transcribed spacer region
Source: RNAcentral
GAGUUCAUGCCCUUCGGGGUAGAUCUCCCACCCUUUGUAUACCAUACCUCUGUUGCUUUGGCGGGCCGCCUAGCUACUGGCUUCGGCUGGUACGUGCCCGCCAGAGGACCCAAAACCCUGGAUAUUAGUGUCGUCUGAGUAGAAUUUUAAUAUUUAAAACUUUCAACAACGGAUCUCUUGGCUCU